This 1287-nucleotide long non-coding RNA is filed under the name Ovis aries (sheep). RNAcentral's name for it is "lncRNA (ENSOARG00000025241.1)". Lineage: Eukaryota; Metazoa; Chordata; Mammalia; Artiodactyla; Bovidae. The record is from RNAcentral.
UAGGAAAUACAUUUAGGAGUAAAAGGCAGCAUGUCUACAAUUUCCAGACCAUUCAGAAAAGUGUUAACACGCACACAAACACACACACAUGGAGAGAGAAAGGAAACAUGGUAACAUAUUAACAUUUGAAGAAUCUGAAUUUACAAUAAUUCUUGUUACUAUUUUUUGCACCUUUAAUGUAGAUCCGAGGUUAUUUCAAAAGUAAAAGUUUUUUCUUUUCUUAAAAAUAAAAAGUCUCCCUAUUUAGACCCUCCAGAGUUACUGUCUUUUUCUUUUUCAAUUUUAUUUUUAAAAUACUCAUUCAUUUAUUUUUAAUCGAGGUAUAAUGACAUAACAUCAUAUUAGCUUCAGGUGUGCAGCAUAACGAUCUUAUCUUGGCACACAUUGUGAAAUGAUCAGCAGUAAGUCUAGUUAACAUCAAUCACAGAGUUAUGAAAUGUUUUUUGCCUUGUGAUGAAAACUUUUAAGAUUUACUCUUAGUAACUUUCAAGUAUGCAAUACAUUAUUGUUAACUAUAGUCAACACACUAUAUGUUACAUCCCCAGGACUUGUAUUUUAUAACUGGUUUAUACUUUUGACCCCCUUCACCCAUUUAGCCCACUCCCCACUCUCUUAUUUAAAAUAAAAGCCUAUAAACAUAGUUUGAAAGACAUGAUUUAAAAGAAACAAGACUACAACUCAGUCAAAUAAGUGUAAAGGGAAAAUAAAAUCCUAAUUGAGUAUAUUUGUAAGUUUCUUUAUUUGCUUCCCCAUAUCAGUCUAAAAAUGAUUUGCAGCCCGGGGCUCCAGCGACCGCCAGGAAUGGCAGAGUUUAGUGACAUUUGGAAGCUUUUCAAACAGUGUUCCAUGCUGUACACUGAAUCAAGUAAAGUUGUAUUCCACAAGUGUUCAGAAAGAAGGACAGGGAUCACAAACUCAGAAAAUGGAAAAAGUACCUUCAUUUGAUGAAGCAGUCAAAGCAGUUCUUAAAAAGAGGGAAUAUGGACCAAAGUAUACUCAGAAUAAUUUCAUCACUGGAGUCAGAGCAAUGAAUGAAUUCUGCCUCAAAUCCAGUGAUCUGGAACAGCUUCGAAAAAUCAGACGACGAAGUCCUCAUGAAGAUACUGAGUCCUUUACUGUAUACUUGAGAUCAGAUGUGGAGGCAAAAUCUUUGGAAGUUUGGGGAAGCCCUGAAGCUCUUGCCAGAGAGAAAAAACUUCGUAAGGAAGCAGAAAUAGAAUAUAGAGAAAGACUAUUUAGAAACCAAAAAAUAGAGACUUUCUGGGAAAUACCAAGCCACGCUCUUGA